UACAGAGGUCUCAAGCGUUGUUCGGAUUCAUUGGGCGUAAAGGGUGCGUAGGUGGCGCCGUAAGUCGGGUGUGAAAUUUCGGAGCUUAACUCCGAAACUGCAUUCGAUACUGCGGUGCUUGAGGACUGGAGAGGAGACUGGAAUUCAUGGUGUAGCAGUGAAAUGCGUAGAGAUCAUGAGGAAGACCAGUGGCGAAGGCGGGUCUCUAGGCCGUAACUGACGCUGAGGAGCGAAAGCAUGGGGAGCGAACAGG
RNAcentral lists this ribosomal RNA (253 nucleotides) under uncultured bacterium. RNAcentral describes it as "partial 16S ribosomal RNA". It matches the Rfam family "Bacterial small subunit ribosomal RNA", at positions 524 to 776 of the family's 1533-position model. The record is from RNAcentral.